UAGGGAAUCUUCCACAAUGGGCGCAAGCCUGAUGGAGCAACGCCGCGUGAGUGAAGAAGGUCUUCGGAUCGUAAAACUCUGUUGUUAGAGAAGAACAUGCAGGAGAGUAACUGUUCUUGUAUUGACGGUAUCUAACCAGAAAGCCGACGGCUAACUACGUGCCAG
This 165-nucleotide ribosomal RNA is filed under the name uncultured bacterium. RNAcentral describes it as "partial 16S rRNA". It matches the Rfam family "Bacterial small subunit ribosomal RNA", at positions 355 to 511 of the family's 1533-position model. The record is from RNAcentral.